CAAUUUUUAUUUUAUUGAAUAUACUAUUUGGGUUAGUAAGGUUUAAAAUUGA
Molecule: transfer RNA, 52 nt
Filed under: Diploscapter coronatus
Lineage: Eukaryota; Metazoa; Nematoda; Chromadorea; Rhabditida; Rhabditidae
Also listed under: 1 other name
Description: tRNA-Pro
Source: RNAcentral